AUGGCCCCAGGGAGCCCCUCUCUCUGCUCGGGGCCUUUGGCGGCGGCACGGCACCACGGCACCGCCGAGCCGUCACCUCCCGCUCGUGCCAUCCGCACAUCGCCGCCGCCUCCAGGUGCGCUCUGGGGCAGCGCGGCGGGGCCCUUCUCCUCCUUUGUCCCAGCGCAGCCCCCGGCUCAGCCCGCACAAAACCCGCCCGUCGCCCUCACCCCACGAGCACUCCGAUCCCCGGCCCGGCGCGCUCCGACGGCUCCGCGCUCCCACGCGGGGCGAGAGAAGCGUCCGAGAACGGCAGCCCCGGCACCCGAGGGGAGCCCGGCGGCACCGCGCUGCUCUGCCCGCCCGGUCGGUGCCGGCACCCGCGGCCCCAGGAGCCCACCCGCCCUCGAGGCCCCAAAAAGAGCUGAGAAGGCGCGCGCCCCGCACUUACCGCCGCCGCCGCCUCCCGCGGCCCCCAGCAGCCCAGCAGCAGCACCAGCACACACCCCACGGCCGGGCCGCGGCUCGGCCACCGCCGCUCCAUCCUCCCACCCGCUCAGGAGCUCCCGGAGCGGCCCUGCGACGCGGGCAUACCCGGCGGGGCAGCGCGGCUCCCGCAGGCGUCUCCCGCCGGCCGCCCCGACGCCAGCGCCCGCCCCUCUGCCGCGCUCGCCCGCUUCUCCCGGCUCAAGUCCUCCCGGGACUACUUUGCCCCGCAAUAUUCAUCCGCACCCCGCGGCGGGCGCGUGGCGUGCGUGUGCGGGCAGAGCCGGGUGCCGGCUCUCUCUGCGGGGCAGCACCUCCCCGUCACGGCCCUUCCCCCGGGCUCCGGGCUUUGGGCGGCUGCGAAGGGCUCUGACCCGCCUCUCCCCGCCUCGCAGCCCCACGGAGCGGGCACGGCCGCAGGACCCCGCACUAUUUUCUGCGGCGGAGGCGGCGCGGGGUGCAGGGGGUGGCGCUGCCGUCGCGGUGGCGGGGCGCACCUCGGAGGGGCGGUGCGCUCGUCCCGUGCCGCUACCCUGCCCUGCCCGGCCCGGCCCUGCCUUCCCCUCCCCUCAGGUGCUUCGCCUCCGUUCAGACUCUCAAACUUUCUCCGUGUGUGCUGGAGCUGCUCCCGGUGGCGGUCCUGCCCUUCCACCGAGCCGCCCGAGACAUGGGCCCGGCCCCGGGGCGCACAGGGGCGCUGCUGCUGCUGCCGGUGCUGCUGCUGAGCCUGCACGCCGAGCCGGUGAGCGCGGUAAGUGCUGCCCCGCGCCCCCGCUUGGCCCCGCUCUCAUAGCGCGGAGUUACGACGGGACUCGGGCUCCCUUCGCCCCCCGCCCGCUUGGACCCCUCGCGGUGUGGGGGGAUCCCGGCACGACGCCGAACUCGCGUUUAGAUCCCGCGUAA
This 1368-nucleotide long non-coding RNA is filed under the name Coturnix japonica (Japanese quail). RNAcentral's name for it is "lncRNA (ENSCJPG00005017224.1)". The record is from RNAcentral. Lineage: Eukaryota; Metazoa; Chordata; Aves; Galliformes; Phasianidae.